This 2928-nucleotide ribosomal RNA is filed under the name Escherichia coli. Its description in RNAcentral is "23S ribosomal RNA". It matches the Rfam family "Bacterial large subunit ribosomal RNA". Lineage: Bacteria; Pseudomonadati; Pseudomonadota; Gammaproteobacteria; Enterobacterales; Enterobacteriaceae. The record is from RNAcentral.
GGGUUGUGAGGUUAAGCGACUAAGCGUACACGGUGGAUGCCCCGCAGUCAGAGGCGAUGAAGGACGUGCUAAUCUGCGAUAAGCGUCGGUAAGGUGAUAUGAACCGUUAUAACCGGCGAUUUCCGAAUGGGGAAACCCAGUGUGAUUCGUCACACUAUCAUUAACUGAAUCCAUAGGUUAAUGAGGCGAACCGGGGGAACUGAAACAUCUAAGUACCCCGAGGAAAAGAAAUCAACCGAGAUUCCCCCAGUAGCGGCGAGCGAACGGGGAGCAGCCCAGAGCCUGAAUCAGUGUGUGUGUUAGUGGAAGCGUCUGGAAAGGCGCGCGAUACAGGGUGACAGCCCCGUAUUAAAAAAAUGCACAUGCUGUGAGCUCGAUGAGUAGGGCGGGACACGUGGUAUCCUGUCUGAAUAUGGGGGGACCAUCCUCCAAGGCUAAAUACUCCUGACUGACCGAUAGUGAACCAGUACCGUGAGGGAAAGGCGAAAAGAACCCCGGCGAGGGGAGUGAAAAAGAACCUGAAACCGUGUACGUACAAGCAGUGGGAGCACGCUUAGGCGUGUGACUGCGUACCUUUUGUAUAAUGGGUCAGCGACUUAUAUUCUGUAGCAAGGUUAACCGAAUAGGGGAGCCGAAGGGAAACCGAGUCUUAACUGGGCGUUAAGUUGCAGGGUAUAGACCCGAAACCCGGUGAUUCAGCCAUGGGCAGGUUGAAGGUUGGGUAACACUAACUGGAGGACCGAACCGACUAAUGUUGAAAAAUUAGCGGAUGACUUGUGGCUGGGGGUGAAAGGCCAAUCAAACCGGGAGAUAGCUGGUUCUCCCCGAAAGCUAUUUAGGUAGCGCCUCGUGAAUUCAUCUCCGGGGGUAGAGCACUGUUUCGGCAAGGGGGUCAUCCCGACUUACCAACCCGAUGCAAACUGCGAAUACCGGAGAAUGUUAUCACGGGAGACACACGGCGGGUGCUAACGUCCGUCGUGAAGAGGGAAACAACCCAGACCGCCAGCUAAGGUCCCAAAGUCAUGGUUAAGUGGGAAACGAUGUGGGAAGGCCCAGACAGCCAGGAUGUUGGCUUAGAAGCAGCCAUCAUUUAAAGAAAGCGUAAUAGCUCACUGGUCGAGUCGGCCUGCGCGGAAGAUGUAACGGGCUAAACCAUGCACCGAAGCUGCGGCAGCGACGCUUAUGCGUUGUUGGGUAGGGGAGCGUUCUGUAAGCCUGCGAAGGUGUGCUGUGAGGCAUGCUGGAGGUAUCAGAAGUGCGAAUGCUGACAUAAGUAACGAUAAAGCGGGUGAAAAGCCCGCUCGCCGGAAGACCAAGGGUUCCUGUCCAACGUUAAUCGGGGCAGGGUGAGUCGACCCUAAGGCGAGGCCGAAAGGCGUAGUCGAUGGGAAACAGGUUAAUAUUCCUGUACUUGGUGUUACUGCGAAGGGGGGACGGAGAAGGCUAUGUUGGCCGGGCGACGGUUGUCCCGGUUUAAACGUGUAGGCUGGUUUUCCAGGCAAAUCCGGAAAAUCAAGGCUGAGGCGUGAUGACGAGGCACUACGGUGCUGAAGCAACAAAUGCCCUGCUUCCAGGAAAAGCCUCUAAGCAUCAGGUAACAUCAAAUCGUACCCCAAACCGACACAGGUGGUCAGGUAGAGAAUACCAAGGCGCUUGAGAGAACUCGGGUGAAGGAACUAGGCAAAAUGGUGCCGUAACUUCGGGAGAAGGCACGCUGAUAUGUAGGUGAAGUCCCUCGCGGAUGGAGCUGAAAUCAGUCGAAGAUACCAGCUGGCUGCAACUGUUUAUUAAAAACACAGCACUGUGCAAACACGAAAGUGGACGUAUACGGUGUGACGCCCGCCCGGUGCCGGAAGGUUAAUUGAUGGGGUCAGCGCAAGCGAAGCUCUUGAUCGAAGCCCCGGUAAACGGCGGCCGUAACUAUAACGGUCCUAAGGUAGCGAAAUUCCUUGUCGGGUAAGUUCCGACCUGCACGAAUGGCGUAAUGAUGGCGGGCUGUCUCCACCCGAGACUCAGUGAAAUUGAACUCGCUGUGAAGAUGCAGUGUACCCGCGGCAAGACGGAAAGACCCCGUGAACCUUUACUAUAGCUUGACACUGAACAUUGAGCCUUGAUGUGCAGGAUAGGUGGGAGGCUUUGAAGUGUGGACGCCAGUCUGCAUGGAGCCGACCUUGAAAUACCACCCUUUAAUGUUUGAUGUUCUAACGUGGACCCGUGAUCCGGGUUGCGGACAGUGUCUGGUGGGUAGUUUGACUGGGGCGGUCUCCUCCUAAAGAGUAACGGAGGAGCACGAAGGUUGGCUAAUCCUGGUCGGACAUCAGGAGGUUAGUGCAAUGGCAUAAGCCAGCUUGACUGCGAGCGUGACGGCGCGAGCAGGUGCGAAAGCAGGUCAUAGUGAUCCGGUGGUUCUGAAUGGAAGGGCCAUCGCUCAACGGAUAAAAGGUACUCCGGGGAUAACAGGCUGAUACCGCCCAAGAGUUCAUAUCGACGGCGGUGUUUGGCACCUCGAUGUCGGCUCAUCACAUCCCGGGCUGAAGUAGGUCCCAAGGGUAUGGCUGUUCGCCAUUUAAAGUGGUACGCGAGCUGGGUUUAGAACGUCGUGAGACAGUUCGGUCCCUAUCUGCCGUGGGCGCUGGAGAACUGAGGGGGGGCUGCUCCUAGUACGAGAGGACCGGAGUGGACGCAUCACUGGUGUUCGGGUUGUCAUGCCAAUGGCACUGCCCGGUAGCUAAAUGCGGAAGAGAUAAGUGCUGAAAGCAUCUAAGCACGAAACUUGCCCCGAGAUGAGUUCUCCCUGACUCCUUGAGAGUCCUGAAGGAACGUUGAAGACGACGACGUUGAUAGGCCGGGUGUGUAAGCGCAGCGAUGCGUUGAGCUAACCGGUACUAAUGAACCGUGAGGCUUAACCUUACAACGCCGAAGGUGUUU